RNAcentral lists this unclassified non-coding RNA (332 nucleotides) under soil metagenome. RNAcentral describes it as "partial contains 5.8S ribosomal RNA, internal transcribed spacer 2, and large subunit ribosomal RNA". The stretch from base 1 to 120 matches the Rfam family "5.8S ribosomal RNA", at positions 35 to 154 of the family's 154-position model. The record is from RNAcentral.
GAUGAAGAACGUAGCGAAAUGCGAUAAGUAAUGUGAAUUGCAGAAUUCAGUGAAUCAUCGAAUCUUUGAACGCACAUUGCGCCCGCCAGUAUUCUGGCGGGCAUGCCUGUCCGAGCGUCAUUUCAACCAUCAAGCCCCGGGCUUGUGUUGGGGACCUGCGUCCGACGCAGGCCCUGAAAACCAGUGGCGGGCUCGCUGUCCACACCGAGCGUAGUAACUAACCUCGCUAUGGAGUGGCGCGGGCGCCUGCCGUAAAACCCCCAAUUUUUACAAGGUUGACCUCGGAUCAGGUAGGAAUACCCGCUGAACUUAAGCAUAUCAAAAGCGGAGGA